UACGUAGGGGGCAAGCGUUGUCCGGAUUUAUUGGGCGUAAAGGGCGUGUAGGCGGCCAGGUAGGUCGGUUGUGAAAACUGGAGGCUUAACCUCCAGACGUCGACCGAAACCAUCUGGCUAGAGUCCGGAAGAGGAGAGUGGAAUUCCUGGUGUAGCGGUGAAAUGCGCAGAUAUCAGAACGAACACCCGUGGCUAAGGCGGCUCUCUAGUACGGUACUGACGCUGAGACGCGAAAGCGUGGGGAGCGAACGGG
Molecule: ribosomal RNA, 253 nt
Filed under: uncultured bacterium
Lineage: Bacteria
Description: partial 16S ribosomal RNA
Rfam family: Bacterial small subunit ribosomal RNA
Source: RNAcentral